This 170-nucleotide ribosomal RNA is filed under the name uncultured bacterium. Its description in RNAcentral is "partial 16S ribosomal RNA". It matches the Rfam family "Bacterial small subunit ribosomal RNA", at positions 337 to 525 of the family's 1533-position model. The record is from RNAcentral.
UCCUACGGGAGGCAGCAGUUGGGAAUCUUGGACGAUGGGGGAAACCCUGAUCCAGCCAUGCCGCGUGAGUGAUGAAGGCCUUCGGGUUGUAAAACUCUUUCGACGGGACGAUAAUGACGGUACCCGUAGAAGAAGCUCCGGCUAACUUCGUGCCAGCAGCCGCGGUAAUA